AAUAUUGGACAAUGGGGGCAAGCCUGAACCAGCCAUGCCGCGUGUGUGAAGAAGGCCUUCGGAUUUUAAAGCCCUUUUAGCUGGGAGAAAGGGCUCGGGGUUAAUACCCUGAAGUUUUGACGUUACCAACAGAGCAAGCACCGGCUAAGUCGUUGCCAGCAGCCGAGGUAAUACAGAGGGUGCAGGCGUUAAUCGGAAUUACUGUGCGUAAAGCGGGCGUAGGUGGUUCAGUAAGAUGGGUGUGAAAUCCCCGGGCUUAACCUGGGAACUGCUUUCAUAACUGCUGAGCUAGAGUACGGUAGAGGGUAGUGGAAUUUCCUGUGUAGCGGUGAGAUGCGUAGAUAUAGGAAGGAACACCAGUGGCGAAGGCGACUACCUGGACUGAUACUGACACUGAGGUGCGAAAGAGUGGGGAGCAAACA
Molecule: ribosomal RNA, 422 nt
Filed under: uncultured bacterium
Lineage: Bacteria
Description: partial 16S ribosomal RNA
Rfam family: Bacterial small subunit ribosomal RNA
Source: RNAcentral